Molecule: ribosomal RNA, 345 nt
Filed under: Pseudo-nitzschia fraudulenta
Lineage: Eukaryota; Bacillariophyta; Bacillariophyceae; Bacillariales; Bacillariaceae
Description: partial Bacterial small subunit ribosomal RNA
Rfam family: Bacterial small subunit ribosomal RNA
Source: RNAcentral
GAUGUUGGGUUAAGUCCCGCAACGAGCGCAAUCCCUAUUCUUAGUUGCCAUCAGGUUAUGCUGGGGACUCUAACAGGACUGCCUACGCAAGUAGAGAGGAAGGCGGGGACGACGUCAAGUCAUCACGGCCCUUACGUCCUGGGCUACACACGUGCUACAAUGGUGCAUACAGAGGGUUGCGAGCUAGUAAUAGUAAGCCAAUCUCAAAAAGUGCAUCUCAGUUCGGAUUGAGGUCUGCAACUCGACCUCAUGAAGUUGGAAUCGCUAGUAAUCGCGUAUCAGCAAUGACGCGGUGAAUACGUUCCCGGGCCUUGUACACACCGCCCGUCAAGCCAUGGAAGCCGG